AACGAACGCUGGCGGCAUGCCUAACACAUGCAAGUCGAACGAGACCUUCGGGUCUAGUGGCGCACGGGUGCGUAACGCGUGGGAACCUGCCCUUAGGUUCGGAAUAACUCCCCGAAAGGGGUGCUAAUACCGGAUAAUGUCUUCGGACCAAAGAUUUAUCGCCUUUGGAUGGGCCCGCGUUGGAUUAGCUAGUUGGUAGGGUAAAAGCCUACCAAGGCGACGAUCCAUAGCUGGUCUGAGAGGAUGAUCAGCCACACUGGGACUGAGACACGGCCCAGACUCCUACGGGAGGCAGCAGUGGGGAAUAUUGGACAAUGGGCGAAAGCCUGAUCCAGCAAUGCCGCGUGAGUGAUGAAGGACUUAGGGUUGUAAAGCUCUUUUACCCGGGAUGAUAAUGACAGUACCGGGAGAAUAAGCUCCGGCCAACUCCGUG
This 433-nucleotide ribosomal RNA is filed under the name uncultured bacterium. RNAcentral describes it as "partial 16S ribosomal RNA". It matches the Rfam family "Bacterial small subunit ribosomal RNA", at positions 29 to 507 of the family's 1533-position model. The record is from RNAcentral.